Molecule: ribosomal RNA, 99 nt
Filed under: Kingella kingae PYKK081
Lineage: Bacteria; Pseudomonadati; Pseudomonadota; Betaproteobacteria; Neisseriales; Neisseriaceae
Description: partial 16S ribosomal RNA
Rfam family: Bacterial small subunit ribosomal RNA
Source: RNAcentral
UGAACAUAAGAGUUUGAUCCUGGCUCAGAUUGAACGCUGGCGGCAUGCUUUACACAUGCAAGUCGGACGGCAGCACGAGUACUUGUACUUGGUGGCGAG